AAGGGUUAAAUAUUUCACAGUGGUGUUUUUGGCCUUUAAUGUUUGUCCCUUAUAUAUAAUUAACUGUGCAUUUGCAUUCAGAUAUCACAGAUCCAAUUUAUUCGUUUAUAGUGUAUUAAUGUACGUUUUUUGAUCGAGUUAGGCCUGCUAAUUGAUAUUUUAUCGUGUGUUUUCCAUGUUGUGAUGUUAUGCUAUUGUUUCAGAAAAAGGGAGAAGGUUUGGAUCUAUUUAAAACGUUUAAUCCCGCUGCAAAUGUUUGCACCUGUCCUAAGUCAGGAAUUUGAUGUACAGUAGUUGUCGUUUGUUUAUGUAAUUUAUACGUGUUUCUCGUUUCUCGUUGUUUUUUUUUUUUUUUUAUCUUAUAUAGAUAAAACCGUUUGUUUUCCCGUUUGAAUGGUUUUACACUAGUAAUUUUGGGGCCAUUUAUAGGUUGUUGUUCGGUGUGAGCCAAGGCUCCGUGUUGCAGGCCGUACAUUGACCUAUAAUGGUUUACUUUUUUAAAAUUGUUAUUGGGAUGGAGAGUUGUCUCAUUGGCAAUCACACCACAUCUUCCUAUAUCUAUAAACAUUGACAAACAACAACCACUGAAUAUCAUGUUCUUGACUGAGGACAUGUGCAAACAAACGCAGUUUUUUUUAUCUUUAUAUGUAUUUUCUUUUGGGAAAUUAAAU
RNAcentral lists this long non-coding RNA (671 nucleotides) under Mytilus galloprovincialis (Mediterranean mussel). The record is from RNAcentral. Lineage: Eukaryota; Metazoa; Mollusca; Bivalvia; Mytilida; Mytilidae.